RNAcentral lists this non-coding RNA (24 nucleotides) under Cricetulus griseus (Chinese hamster). The record is from RNAcentral. Lineage: Eukaryota; Metazoa; Chordata; Mammalia; Rodentia; Cricetidae.
UAUGGAUGAGAAAUGCGGAUAUGG